CCUACGAGAGGCAGCAGUGAGGAAUAUUGGUCAAUGGACGAGAGUCUGAACCAGCCAAGUAGCGUGAGGGAUGAAGGCCCUAUGGGUUGUAAACUUCUUUUAUAAAGGAAUAAAACGAGGCACGUGUGCCUUUUUGCAUGUACUUUAUGAAUAAGGAUCGGCUAACUCCGUGCCAGCAGCCGCGGUAAUACGGAGGAUCCGAGCGUUAUCCGGAUUUAUUGGGUUUAAAGGGAGCGUAGAUGGGUUGUUAAGUCAGUUGUGAAAGUUUGCGGCUCAACCGUAAAAUUGCAAUUGAUACUGGCAGUCUUGAGUACAGUUGAGGUAGGCGGAAUUCGUGGUGUAGCGGUGAAAUGCUUAGAUAUCACGAAGAACCCCGAUUGCGAAGGCAGCUUACCAACCUGUGACUGACAUUGAUGCUCGAAAGUGUGGGUAUCAAACAGGAUUAGAUACCCCGGUAGUC
RNAcentral lists this ribosomal RNA (460 nucleotides) under uncultured bacterium. RNAcentral describes it as "partial 16S ribosomal RNA". It matches the Rfam family "Bacterial small subunit ribosomal RNA", at positions 338 to 795 of the family's 1533-position model. The record is from RNAcentral.